CUGCUGCCUUCCGUAGGAGUUUGGGCCGUGUCUCAGUCCCAAUGUGGCCGGUCACCCUCUCAGGUCGGCUACUGAUCGUCGCCUUGGUGGGCCGUUACCCCUCCAACUAGCUAAUCAGACGCGGGUCCAUCUCAUACCACCGGAGUUUUUCACACAAGAACAUGCAUCCUCGUGCGCUUAUGCGGUAUUAGCAGUCAUUUCUAACUGUUAUCCCCCUGUAUGAGGCAGGUUACCCACGCGUUACUCACCCGUCCG
RNAcentral lists this ribosomal RNA (255 nucleotides) under uncultured bacterium. Its description in RNAcentral is "partial 16S ribosomal RNA". The record is from RNAcentral.